Molecule: ribosomal RNA, 253 nt
Filed under: uncultured bacterium
Lineage: Bacteria
Description: partial 16S ribosomal RNA
Rfam family: Bacterial small subunit ribosomal RNA
Source: RNAcentral
UACGUAGGGUGCGAGCGUUGUCCGGAAUUAUUGGGCGUAAAGGGCUCGUAGGCGGUCUGUCGCGUCGGGAGUGAAAACUCAGGGCUUAACCCUGAGCCUGCUUCCGAUACGGGCAGACUAGAGGUAUGCAGGGGAGAACGGAAUUCCUGGUGUAGCGGUGAAAUGCGCAGAUAUCAGGAGGAACACCGGUGGCGAAGGCGGUUCUCUGGGCAUGAUCUGACGCUGAGGAGCGAAAGUGUGGGGAGCGAACAGG